This 445-nucleotide ribosomal RNA is filed under the name uncultured bacterium. Its description in RNAcentral is "partial 16S ribosomal RNA". It matches the Rfam family "Bacterial small subunit ribosomal RNA", at positions 354 to 796 of the family's 1533-position model. The record is from RNAcentral.
GUGAGGAAUAUUGGUCAAUGGGCGGGAGCCUGAACCAACCAAGUCGCGUGAAGGAAGAAGGAUCUAUGGUUCGUAAACUUCUUUUGCAGGGGAAUAAAGUGCAGGACGUGUCCUGUUUUGUAUGUACCCUGAGAAUAAGGAUCGGCUAACUCCGUGCCAGCAGCCGCGGUAAUACGGAGGAUCCAAGCGUUAUCCGGAUUUAUUGGGUUUAAAGGGUGCGUAGGCGGACUGUCAAGUCAGCGGUGAAAGUCCAUGGCUCAACCAUGGAAUUGCCGUUGAAACUGUCGGUCUUGAGUGUAGAUGAGGUAGGCGGAAUUCGUAGUGUAGCGGUGAAAUGCUUAGAUAUCACGCAGAACUCCGAUUGCGAAGGCAGCUUACUAAGCUACAACUGACACUGAAGCACGAAAGCGUGGGGAUCAAACAGGAUUAGAUACCCGGGUAGUCC